Molecule: ribosomal RNA, 403 nt
Filed under: Verrucomicrobiota bacterium
Lineage: Bacteria; Pseudomonadati; Verrucomicrobiota
Description: Verrucomicrobia bacterium partial 16S ribosomal RNA
Rfam family: Bacterial small subunit ribosomal RNA
Source: RNAcentral
UGGGGAAUAUUGCACAAUGGAGGGAACUCUGAUGCAGCGACGCCGCGUGAACGAAGAAGGCUUUCGAGUCGUAAAGUUCUUUUAUAUGGGAAGAUAAUGACGGUACCAUAAGAAAAAGCCCCGGCUAACUACGUGCCAGCAGCCGCGGUAAUACGUAGGGGGCUAGCGUUGUCCGGAAUCACUGGGCGUAAAGGGUUCGCAGGCGGAAAUGCAAGUCAGGUGUGAAAGCGUGAGGCUUAACCUCAUUAAGCACUUGAAACUGAUAGACUUGAGUGAAGGAGAGGAAAGUGGAAUUCCUAGUGUAGCGGUGAAAUGCGUAGAUAUUAGGAGGAAUACCGGUGGCGAAGGCGACUUUCUGGACUUUUACUGACGCUCAGGUACGAAAGCGUGGGGAGCAAACAGG